This 164-nucleotide ribosomal RNA is filed under the name uncultured bacterium. RNAcentral describes it as "partial 16S ribosomal RNA". It matches the Rfam family "Bacterial small subunit ribosomal RNA", at positions 1337 to 1500 of the family's 1533-position model. The record is from RNAcentral.
AGUAAUCGCAGAUCAGCAUGCUGCGGUGAAUACGUUCCCGGGCCUUGUACACACCGCCCGUCACACCAUGAGAGUCGAUAACACCCGAAGCCUGUAGUCUAACCAUAAGGGGGACGCAGUCGAAGGUGGGAUUGAUAAUUAGGGUGAAGUCGUAACAAGGUAGC